GCCUGGCUGGCUCAGUUGAUACAGCAUGAGACUCUUGAUCUCGGGUCAUAAGUUCAAUCCCAUGUUGGGUG
Molecule: transfer RNA, 71 nt
Filed under: Felis catus (domestic cat)
Lineage: Eukaryota; Metazoa; Chordata; Mammalia; Carnivora; Felidae
Rfam family: tRNA
About the family: Transfer RNA (tRNA) molecules are approximately 80 nucleotides in length. Their secondary structure includes four short double-helical elements and three loops (D, anti-codon, and T loops). Further hydrogen bonds mediate the characteristic L-shaped molecular structure. tRNAs have two regions of fundamental functional importance: the anti-codon, which is responsible for specific mRNA codon recognition, and the 3' end, to which the tRNAs corresponding amino acid is attached (by aminoacyl-tRNA synthetases). tRNAs cope with the degeneracy of the genetic code in two manners: having more than one tRNA (with a specific anti-codon) for a particular amino acid; and 'wobble' base-pairing, i.e. permitting non-standard base-pairing at the 3rd anti-codon position.
Source: Rfam by way of RNAcentral